CCUACGGGUGGCAGCAGUGAGGAAUAUUGGUCAAUGGUCGGGAGACUGAACCAGCCAAGUCGCGUGAGGGAGGAAGGUUCUGUGUAUCGUAAACCUCUUUUGUAAGGGAAUAAAGACCGGGACGUGUCCCGGGUUGUAUGUACCUGAAGAAAAAGCAUCGGCUAACUCCGUGCCAGCAGCCGCGGUAAUACGGAGGAUGCGAGCGUUAUCCGGAUUUAUUGGGUUUAAAGGGUGCGUAGGCGGCCUUUUAAGUCAGCGGUGAAAGUCCGUGGCUCAACCAUGGAAUUGCCGUUGAAACUGGGAGGCUCGAGUAUGAUGGAGGUAGGCGGAAUGCGCGGUGUAGCGGUGAAAUGCUUAGAUAUCACGCAGAACCCCGAUUGCGAAGGCAGCAUGCCAAGCCAUGACUGACGCUGAUGCACGAAAGCGUGGGGAUCAAACAGGAUUAGAUACCCGAGUAGUC
RNAcentral lists this ribosomal RNA (460 nucleotides) under uncultured bacterium. Its description in RNAcentral is "partial 16S ribosomal RNA". It matches the Rfam family "Bacterial small subunit ribosomal RNA", at positions 338 to 795 of the family's 1533-position model. The record is from RNAcentral.